This 377-nucleotide ribosomal RNA is filed under the name uncultured bacterium. RNAcentral's name for it is "bacterial SSU rRNA". It matches the Rfam family "Bacterial small subunit ribosomal RNA", at positions 523 to 898 of the family's 1533-position model. The record is from RNAcentral.
AUACGUAGGUGGCGAGCGUUGUUCGGAUUCAUUGGGCGUAAAGGGUUCGCAGGGGGUCGAUUAAGUCUGAUGUGAAAUCCCUGAGCUCAACUCAGGAACUGCAUUGGAGACUGGUUGACUAGAGCAUCGGAGAGGAGAUUGGAAUUCCAGGUGUAGCGGUGGAAUGCGUAGAUAUCUGGAAGAACACCGAAAGCGAAGGCAGAUCUCUGGACGAUCGCUGACCCUCAGGAACGAAAGCGUGGGGAGCAAACAGGAUUAGAUACCCUGGUAGUCCACGCCCUAAACGUUGUGAACUUGAUGUGACAGGAUUUACUCCCUGUCGCGUCGUAGCUAACGCGAUAAGUUCACCGCCUGGGAACUACGGCCGCAAGGCUAAA